This 468-nucleotide ribosomal RNA is filed under the name uncultured bacterium. RNAcentral describes it as "partial 16S ribosomal RNA". It matches the Rfam family "Bacterial small subunit ribosomal RNA", at positions 28 to 507 of the family's 1533-position model. The record is from RNAcentral.
GACGAACGCUGGCGGCGUGCUUAACACAUGCAAGUCGAACGGAAAGGCCCUGCUUUUGUGGGGUGCUCGAGUGGCGAACGGGUGAGUAACACGUGAGUAACCUGCCCUUGACUUUGGGAUAACUUCAGGAAACUGGGGCUAAUACCGGAUAGGAGCUCCUGCUGCAUGGUGGGGGUUGGAAAGUUUCGGCGGUUGGGGUUGGACUCGCGGCUUAUCAGCUUGUUGGUGGGGUAGUGGCUUACCAAGGCUUUGACGGGUAGCCGGCCUGAGAGGGUGACCGGCCACAUUGGGACUGAGAUACGGCCCAGACUCCUACGGGAGACAGCAGUGGGGAAUAUUGCACAAUGGGCGGAAGCCUGAUGCAGCAACGCCGCGUGCGGGAUGACGGCCUUCGGGUUGUAAACCGCUUUCGCCUGUGACGAAGCGUGAGUGACGGUAAUGGGUAAAGAAGCACCGGCUAACUACGUG